This 23-nucleotide non-coding RNA is filed under the name Arabidopsis thaliana (thale cress). Lineage: Eukaryota; Viridiplantae; Streptophyta; Magnoliopsida; Brassicales; Brassicaceae. The record is from RNAcentral.
CGGAGAUUAUAUUCACUUGGAGC